UGAAUGCUACUAUACAGGGCUAGAACGUAAAACAUGAACAAUAGACUCUAAACAAUAAAAAUCUCCUCAAGCAGCUCCUGAAUGCAGUGGUCUUGGGGGUAUUUGUCAUGCUCAAACCCCAGUAAGUAAAUCCACACCUGUAUGAGAAAACUGAAACCAACACUAUGUGAGAUAAUAACAUUUCCUACUAGACACAUGCAAGACAUGGUUGAGACUAUUUUUGCAAAAUGGUUUGUUUGGCCAAAAGGUGGCUAGAAGUGCAAAAUUUGGCUAAGACCCCGCAAAGCCAAGAACAUAAGAUUCACUAGGAAGACCGGACCCUAUGUGGGUUGCCUACGUAUCACACCCCGAAAGACGAUAAUCAGGUAUGCGUAGUUCGGGCAGAUUGGAUACGGGAAAGAAAUAAAAAUAACAACUGAUUCAGAAAAAAAAAUAUUUUGUCUUUUGUUUUGAAAAAAAUGAUGAAACAUGUAAACAUCUUUUUGGAUUUUCUUUUUCCUCUUUUUUUUUUCGAUUUUUGAUUUUCGGAAAAUGAUGAAAAAGUGCAUAAUCUUUUUGAAUUUUUUAUUUCAUUUUUUUUUGUUUUUUUGUUUUUUUUUUUAAAUGUGACAGAAAACAUAACUGGGCCCUACUUGCUUUACUUUCACACUUCACCCUCUCUUUUGUAUUUUUUUUUUUUUCAUUUGCCCUCAACUAUUAUCGGUCUGCCAAAUGACCCUUUUACCCUUGAAGAAAUGCAACAUGUAGUACAUAGGAUGCAUCAAGAUGGUCUUUUAUUUUGGGGUACACUUUCCUAGACGGGCCCAACCCCUGUGUUGAGUUCCUACUAGGGUUCCGGCAUGAGGCUGAGUUAUUCUAAGUUCAAAACCUGGGUAUGCUAUUCUAGACUUGUGUACCCAAGCAGACAACUCGAGCCGAAGGGAGGCUACGUACCGGGAACCAAAAGGCAAUCCGGCUGUGUAACUUGUCCGAGCCUCUUCCUAAUUUAAGGUAUGACACUAACAGAAGAGGAGUCACGCCAGCGUGCACAUCACCGAAGAUGGGAAAAGAAGGAUUUUGUAGCAGUUUAUAUACAAUUCAAAUAGUAACAAAGCGGUAAAAAGCAGCAUUUAGCACAUUAAGCACAAACAUGUAAUAAAACCAGAUAAUAAAUAAAGUUAAAUAUAACAAUUAUUCUAAACUCGAAUUCUUGAACCCUGAACGAGAAGUUCUGGGUUCUUAUCCCCAGCAGAGUUGCCAGAGCUGUCACACCUCCUUUUUCCUACACCCGAAAAGGGUAUAAGGGAGUUUUUUCCAAUUUAAGUGACAAUCGAAACGGAAUUUAUUUAAGAAUCAGAGUCGCCACUUGGGAUAAUUUAUGGUGUCCCAAGUCACCGGUUUAGAAUCCCGAAUCGAGGAAAGAUUGACUCUGUUUUAUAGUCCGCGAACACAGAAAUCCGGGUAAGAAAUUCUGUUAACUUGGAAGAAGGUGUUAGGCAUUUCCGGGUUCCGUGGUUCUAGCACGGUCACUUAACUAUUAUUCUUGGCUUAAUUAUCUUAUUUUAAACACUUUUAAACCUAUGUGCAUUUUUAACUUUAAAACCGCUUUUAAUAAUCCAAUUAUUAUACAACCAGUUAUUUUAAUUACAUGUUGCAAAUCAUGUCACAGGAACCAUACCCACGAUCCACAACAUGUUUAUUUUAUUAACAAGAUUAAAUUGUGGUCGGGUCACAUAAAUGUACCCCUAGAUUUUUGGAAAUUAGGCGUCACGACCACGUCACGGGAACCGUACCCGUAGCUAUGACAAUUUAUUUAAUUAAACGCGCCUAAACAAACUAAGAGAGUUCAAAGCAUUUUUACACUAGUUAAGAUAUAGAUGUGAGGGCCAUAGACUAGGCGAUUGGAUGGCACACCUCAAAUUUAUAACAGAAAAAAAAAUUUAACUAAGUAAUCGAAAAAUUCAAAAGACCUUUCUUUUACAAGAGUACAAUGGUGUAUAUCCCAUAACUUAAAAAACCAAACGAUCAAAUAUGAUAAAUAUCACAUGAAGCUAAUUAACAAAUGAAACAUAUCACAUUCUGCCAAAAAACAACCAGAUGGUAACUCGACAAGCAGAAAUUUACAACUACAAAUAUCAAACAAAUCCAUAGAAAGAAGUCUCAAACAUAUUAAACUUAACAAUAAGAACACCAAGCAAUCACAUAACAAUAAGCAAUUUAUCAAAUACUAAGCAUGAUAUUAAGAGAAAUCACUCAGUGAGCUUUUAGGAAGCAUUGUAUGAACCGAACCUUACAGGAUUUUCACCAAGACAAAAAUCUGGAUCCGAUUUUGGACUGCAAAUGGAACCUCGCUGAACUACCUCGAUCUCGAUAGUAUCUCAAUCAUGAUUUCAAAAGAUAUUGAAUGGACGAUAACUUGAAAAGCCAAGCGAAGCUUGAAACCGGAUUCAAGUUCCUCUCGUGCUCACAAAACUCCAUUGGUUCGCUGUUGUCCUUUUCUUGUUUUUGUGUGUGUUUGUGGCUAUGUGUGGGUGUUUUCCGUCAAGCUAUGGUACGGAGAAGGAGGAGCAACGAUGGGUGUUAGAGAAUGGUCGAGAUCUGCCGGCUGCUUAAGGUCGUUCGCGUUUUUCCGGCGAGCUGGUGAGAUCGAGUGAAAAGGAAAGGUCGUUGCUGCUGUUGAAUGCUGGCGUGAGGAGGAGGAUAGGUGGGGUUGUUUUGGUCGGUGAAGGUUUAGAGUCACUGGUUAUUGUGUUUGACGUGCGGGGUGGUCAUUUUACGGUGAUGGUGAGAUGAAGGGUGGUCGUCGAUGGAGCUGGUGGACGUUGGUUACUGGUUUUUGGCUGGUCGUUGGGAUGAUUGGAGAUGGGCUGGUUGUUGUGAUGUUCAGGGGUGUGGUUAAGAAGAAGCCAUUGAAAUAGCUCUUCUCUGAAGAAGGAGCUCCGUUGAUGAGGAGGGGUGUGUGAAGGAGACGAAGCUUCAGGGAGGGGGGAGGGGUUCCUUUCUGAAAAUCAACCGCUCCUCAUUCUUAGGAGUCUAGGUCUGAUUUUUGUUCUCU
This 3034-nucleotide long non-coding RNA is filed under the name Nicotiana tabacum (common tobacco). RNAcentral describes it as "long non-coding RNA (NTAB_LNC010787)". The record is from RNAcentral. Lineage: Eukaryota; Viridiplantae; Streptophyta; Magnoliopsida; Solanales; Solanaceae.